This 120-nucleotide ribosomal RNA is filed under the name Scophthalmus maximus (turbot). Lineage: Eukaryota; Metazoa; Chordata; Actinopteri; Pleuronectiformes; Scophthalmidae. The record is from RNAcentral.
GCUUACGGCCACACCGCCCUGGUUCACGCCCGAUCUCGUUUGAUCUCGGAAGCUAAGAUAGGUUGGGCCUGGUUAGUACUUGGAUGGGAGACCGCCUGGGAAUACCAGGUGCUGUAAGCU